This 1727-nucleotide ribosomal RNA is filed under the name Salmonella enterica. RNAcentral's name for it is "bacterial LSU rRNA". It matches the Rfam family "Bacterial large subunit ribosomal RNA", at positions 1225 to 2925 of the family's 2925-position model. The record is from RNAcentral. Lineage: Bacteria; Pseudomonadati; Pseudomonadota; Gammaproteobacteria; Enterobacterales; Enterobacteriaceae.
UGGGUAGGGGAGCGUUCUGUAAGCCUGCGAAGGUGGCCUGUGAGGGUUGCUGGAGGUAUCAGAAGUGCGAAUGCUGACAUAAGUAACGAUAAAGCGGGUGAAAAGCCCGCUCGCCGGAAGACCAAGGGUUCCUGUCCAACGUUAAUCGGGGCAGGGUGAGUCGACCCCUAAGGCGAGGCCGAAAGGCGUAGUCGAUGGGAAACGGGUUAAUAUUCCCGUACUUGGUGUUACUGCGAAGGGGGGACGGAGAAGGCUAUGUUGGCCGGGCGACGGUUGUCCCGGUUUAAGCGUGUAGGUGUGUGUUCCAGGUAAAUCCGGUUCACUUUAACACUGAGGCGUGAUGACGAGGCACUACGGUGCUGAAGCAACAAAUGCCCUGCUUCCAGGAAAAGCCUCUAAGCAUCAGGUAACAUCAAAUCGUACCCCAAACCGACACAGGUGGUCAGGUAGAGAAUACCAAGGCGCUUGAGAGAACUCGGGUGAAGGAACUAGGCAAAAUGGUGCCGUAACUUCGGGAGAAGGCACGCUGACACGUAGGUGAAGUGAUUUACUCAUGGAGCUGAAGUCAGUCGAAGAUACCAGCUGGCUGCAACUGUUUAUUAAAAACACAGCACUGUGCAAACACGAAAGUGGACGUAUACGGUGUGACGCCUGCCCGGUGCCGGAAGGUUAAUUGAUGGGGUCAGCGCAAGCGAAGCUCCUGAUCGAAGCCCCGGUAAACGGCGGCCGUAACUAUAACGGUCCUAAGGUAGCGAAAUUCCUUGUCGGGUAAGUUCCGACCUGCACGAAUGGCGUAAUGAUGGCCAGGCUGUCUCCACCCGAGACUCAGUGAAAUUGAACUCGCUGUGAAGAUGCAGUGUACCCGCGGCAAGACGGAAAGACCCCGUGAACCUUUACUAUAGCUUGACACUGAACAUUGAGCCUUGAUGUGUAGGAUAGGUGGGAGGCUUUGAAGCGUGGACGCCAGUCUGCGUGGAGCCGACCUUGAAAUACCACCCUUUAAUGUUUGAUGUUCUAACGUGGACCCGUAAUCCGGGUUGCGGACAGUGUCUGGUGGGUAGUUUGACUGGGGCGGUCUCCUCCUAAAGAGUAACGGAGGAGCACGAAGGUUGGCUAAUCCUGGUCGGACAUCAGGAGGUUAGUGCAAUGGCAUAAGCCAGCUUGACUGCGAGCGUGACGGCGCGAGCAGGUGCGAAAGCAGGUCAUAGUGAUCCGGUGGUUCUGAAUGGAAGGGCCAUCGCUCAACGGAUAAAAGGUACUCCGGGGAUAACAGGCUGAUACCGCCCAAGAGUUCAUAUCGACGGCGGUGUUUGGCACCUCGAUGUCGGCUCAUCACAUCCUGGGGCUGAAGUAGGUCCCAAGGGUAUGGCUGUUCGCCAUUUAAAGUGGUACGCGAGCUGGGUUUAGAACGUCGUGAGACAGUUCGGUCCCUAUCUGCCGUGGGCGCUGGAGAACUGAGGGGGGCUGCUCCUAGUACGAGAGGACCGGAGUGGACGCAUCACUGGUGUUCGGGUUGUCAUGCCAAUGGCACUGCCCGGUAGCUAAAUGCGGAAGAGAUAAGUGCUGAAAGCAUCUAAGCACGAAACUUGCCCCGAGAUGAGUUCUCCCUGAGACUUAGAGUCUCCUGAAGGAACGUUGAAGACGACGACGUUGAUAGGCCGGGUGUGUAAGCGCAGCGAUGCGUUGAGCUAACCGGUACUAAUGAACCGUGAGGCUUAACCUUACAA